Molecule: ribosomal RNA, 440 nt
Filed under: uncultured bacterium
Lineage: Bacteria
Description: partial 16S ribosomal RNA
Rfam family: Bacterial small subunit ribosomal RNA
Source: RNAcentral
CCUACGAGAGGCAGCAGUGAGGGAUAUUGGUCAAUGGGGGAAACCCUGAACCAGCAACGCCGCGUGAGGGAAGACGGUUUUCGGAUUGUAAACCUCUGUCCUCUGUGAAGAUAAUGACGGUAGCAGAGGAGGAAGCUCCGGCUAACUACGUGCCAGCAGCCGCGGUAAUACGUAGGGAGCAAGCGUUGUCCGGAUUUACUGGGUGUAAAGGGUGCGUAGGCGGCCCUGCAAGUCAGAAGUGAAAUCCAUGGGCUUAACCCCCGGACUGCUCUGGAAACUGUACGGCUGGAGUGCAGGAGAGGUAAGUGGAAUUCCUAGUGUAGCGGUGAAAUGCGUAGAUAUUAGGAGGAACACCAGUGGCGAAGGCGGCUUACUGGACUGUAACUGACGUUGAGGCUCGAAAGCGUGGGGAGCAAACAGGAUUAGAUACCCUGGUAGUC